Molecule: ribosomal RNA, 432 nt
Filed under: uncultured bacterium
Lineage: Bacteria
Description: partial 16S ribosomal RNA
Rfam family: Bacterial small subunit ribosomal RNA
Source: RNAcentral
CCUACGGGGGGCAGCAGUGGGGAAUUUUGGACAAUGGGGGAAACCCUGAUCCAGCCAUGCCGCGUGUGUGAAGAAGGCCUUCGGGUUGUAAAGCACUUUUGGGAACCGCCCGGUACCCGCAGAAUAAGCACCGGCUAACUACGUGCCAGCAGCCGCGGUAAUACGUAGGGUGCAAGCGUUAAUCGGAAUUACUGGGCGUAAAGCGUGCGCAGGCGGUUUCGUAAGACAGAUGUGAAAUCCCCGGGCUUAACCUGGGAACUGCAUUUGUGACUGCGAGGCUAGAGUGUGUCAGAGGGGGGUGGAAUUCCACGUGUAGCAGUGAAAUGCGUAGAUAUGUGGAGGAACACCGAUGGCGAAGGCAGCCCCCUGGGAUAAACUGACGCUCAUGCACGAAAGCGUGGGGAGCAAACAGGAUUAGAUACCCCAGUAGUC